Molecule: transfer RNA, 74 nt
Filed under: Flavobacteriales bacterium
Lineage: Bacteria; Pseudomonadati; Bacteroidota; Flavobacteriia; Flavobacteriales
Description: tRNA-Ile
Rfam family: tRNA
About the family: Transfer RNA (tRNA) molecules are approximately 80 nucleotides in length. Their secondary structure includes four short double-helical elements and three loops (D, anti-codon, and T loops).
Source: RNAcentral
GGGCCCAUAGCUCAGAUGGUUAGAGCGGCAGACUCAUAAUCUGAAGGUCGCAGGUUCAAUCCCUGCUGGGCCCA